RNAcentral lists this ribosomal RNA (299 nucleotides) under uncultured bacterium. Its description in RNAcentral is "partial 16S ribosomal RNA". It matches the Rfam family "Bacterial small subunit ribosomal RNA", at positions 338 to 652 of the family's 1533-position model. The record is from RNAcentral.
CCUACGGGGGGCAGCAGUGGGGAAUAUUGGGCAAUGGACGCAAGUCUGACCCAGCAACGCCGCGUGAAGGAAGAAGGCUUUCGAGUUGUAAACUUCUUUUAAGGGGGAAGAGCAGAAGACGGUACCCCUUGAAUAAGCCACGGCUAACUACGUGCCAGCAGCCGCGGUAAUACGUAGGUGGCAAGCGUUGUCCGGAAUCACUGGGCGUAAAGGGCGCGUAGGCGGUAAUAUAAGUCAGAUGUGAAAGGUGGGGGCUCAACCCCUAGAGUGCAACUGAUACUGUAUAACUUGAGUGUGAG